AGUAGUUUGAUCCGUGGCUCAGGAUAAACGCUGGCGGCGUGCUUAACACAUGCAAGUCGAACGGAGUAUUCCUCCCGAGGAUUGACGAAGCUUGCUUCUGAUUGACUCAAGGUUGGAAUACUUAGUGGCGGACGGGUGAGUAACGCGUGGGUAACCUGCCUCACACAGGGGGAUAACAGUUGGAAACGACUGUUAAUACCGCAUAAGCGCACAAUACCGCAUGGUAUGGUGUGAAAAACUCCGGUGGUGUGAGAUGGACCCGCGUCUGAUUAGCUAGUUGGUGAGGUAACGGCCCACCAAGGCGACGAUCAGUAGCCGGCCUGAGAGGGUGUACGGCCACAUUGGGACUGAGACACGGCCCAAACUCC
RNAcentral lists this ribosomal RNA (368 nucleotides) under uncultured Coprococcus sp. RNAcentral describes it as "bacterial SSU rRNA". It matches the Rfam family "Bacterial small subunit ribosomal RNA", at positions 1 to 339 of the family's 1533-position model. Lineage: Bacteria; Bacillati; Bacillota; Clostridia; Lachnospirales; Lachnospiraceae. The record is from RNAcentral.